GGAGGGGUGCGAGAGUGGUUGAAUCGGGCGGUCUCGAAAACCGUUGUAGGGGCAAUCCCUCUACCGAGGGUUCGAAUCCCUCCCCCUCCG
Molecule: transfer RNA, 90 nt
Filed under: Solirubrobacterales bacterium
Lineage: Bacteria; Bacillati; Actinomycetota; Thermoleophilia; Solirubrobacterales
Description: tRNA-Ser
Rfam family: tRNA
About the family: Transfer RNA (tRNA) molecules are approximately 80 nucleotides in length. Their secondary structure includes four short double-helical elements and three loops (D, anti-codon, and T loops).
Source: RNAcentral